Molecule: ribosomal RNA, 496 nt
Filed under: uncultured bacterium
Lineage: Bacteria
Description: partial 16S ribosomal RNA
Rfam family: Bacterial small subunit ribosomal RNA
Source: RNAcentral
AUGAACGCUGGCGGCGUGCCUAAUCCAUGCCAGUCGAGCGAACAGACGAGGAGCUUGCUCCUCUGACGUUAGCGGCGGACGGGUGAGUAACACGUGGAUAACCUACCUAUAAGACUGGGAUAACUUCGGGAAACCGGAGCUAAUACCGGAUAAUAUAUUGAACCGCAUGGUUCAAUAGUGAAAGACGGUUUUGCUGUCACUUAUAGAUGGAUCCGCGCCGCAUUAGCUAGUUGGUAAGGUAACGGCUUACCAAGGCAACGAUGCGUAGCCGACCUGAGAGGGUGAUCGGCCACACUGGAACUGAGACACGGUCCAGACUCCUACGGGAGGCAGCAGUAGGGAAUCUUCCGCAAUGGGCGAAAGCCUGACGGAGCAACGCCGCGUGAGGGAUGAAGGUCUUCGGAUCGUAAAACUCUGUUAUUAGGGAAGAACAAAGGUGUAAGUAACUAUGCACGUCUUGACGGUACCUAAUCAGAAAGCCACGGCUAACUACGUG